UGCGCGCGCGCGGGCAGGCGGGAAUGUGGGUUCUUGUUUAUCUACGCGGCCGCGCAGACGGGAGGGAGGGAGAGAAGAGUGAGGGGAAAACUCCUGGCUGAGGUCCCACGAGCAGCAGGGAGAGUGUGCAUGUGUGUGUGUGUGUGUGUGUGUGUCUGCGUGUGUGUGUGUGUGUGUGUCUGCAGAGAGCGGGACAUCGCUAGCACAACUUCUCACCCUUGGAAGCGUUUCCACUUUUCUGCUACGUCGACAACUUUUUGCUCCGCGCCGCCGAUCCUCCAAACUGCCAACGUGGGAAGCGUGGGAUACAUGUUCGUCAGCCUCAGCGUUCACAAAAACAAGCCAACCAAGCAUUGGAGACGGCGACAUGCAGCGUGGUUUCUCCCCGGCAUGAGUGGAUAAGUCAACGACAGCCAGAACGCCGUGAUCAAGUGCUUCUCUGGCGAGUUCAAAAAGGCCGCAGAGCCAGGUGUGUUUUGAAGAAGGUGGAGAUGAUCACUCACAGUAUUUCUGGAACGCCGCUCCUUCUGACGUGAGGGUAGGUGUUCUGACACACCUGGGGCGUCUCAAAAGAAACAUCCCAUGUGUCAUUCUGGGUUUUCAUCCGCAGACUCGCUUUUUUGCAAUACAGACGAUAAACGAUAUGAAUCGGAGGUGUCCAAAGAGCGGCCCGCAGAUCAUUUUUUAACGGCCAUUAGCACGUUCUAAAAAUGAUAUUCCCCCCCCCAAAAAAAGUGGAGUAUAAGAGCAAAAUGUAAAGAGGAAAAGUUGCAAUGCUGACUCUAAUAACACAAUGCAGACUGUUUUUUAAAGGACUGUUGUUGAUCAAAUGUAAUAAUGUAUCAAAAUCAAUGCAUUGAAUUAUUGACCUAUUGAAGGCUCCAAUUACUUCACAUCAAUAUUCCAAUUUGAAAUAUUUUUAGGAGAAAAUACAGCAUAUUUUCUGUGUCUUGCUAUAAAAAGUUACAAUUUCUUGGGGAAAAAAAGGGCAUAAAACAACAACGAAAAAAACCGUAUAACCAACAGAUACCUAGUGUGUGUGAGACAAUCUCUAAAAAUUCUAUUCCAAAAAAAAGUUUUAAAAAUUGGAGUAUAAGAGCAAAAUGUAAAGAGAAAAAGUUGCAAUGAUGACUCUAAUCACACAAUGCAGACUGUUUUUUAAAAGACUGUUGUUGAUCAAAUAUAAUAAUGAAUCAAAAUCAAUUCAUUGAAUUAUCGACCUAUUAGAGGCUCCAAUUACUUCACAUCAAAUAUUCCACUUUGAAAUAUUUUAGGAGAAAAUAAUAGCAUAUUUUCUGUGUUUUGCUAUAAAAAGUUACAAUUUCUUUGAAAA
Molecule: long non-coding RNA, 1333 nt
Organism: Nerophis ophidion (straightnose pipefish)
Lineage: Eukaryota; Metazoa; Chordata; Actinopteri; Syngnathiformes; Syngnathidae
Exons: 3
Source: RefSeq, a predicted model, not a curated record